CGCCUGGGGAGUACGGCCGCAAGGUUAAAACUCAAAUGAAUUGACGGGGGCCCGCACAAGCGGUGGAGCAUGUGGUUUAAUUCGACGCAACGCGAAGAACCUUACCUGGCCUUGACAUCCAGAGAACUUUCCAGAGAUGGAUUGGUGCCUUCGGGAACUCUGAGACAGGUGCUGCAUGGCCGUCGUCAGCUCGUGUCGUGAGAUGUUGGGUUAAGUCCCGUAACGAGCGCAACCCCUAUCCCUGGUUGCUAGCAGGUAAUGCUGAGAACUCCAGGGAGACUGCCGGUGACAAACCGGAGGAAGGUGGGGAUGACGUCAGGUCAUCAUGGCCCUUACGGCCAGGGCUACACACGUGCUACAAUGGCGCGUACAGAGGGCUGCCAACUCGCGAGAGUGAGCCAAUCCCUUAAAACGCGUCGUAGUCCGGAUCGGAGUCUGCAACUCGACUCCGUGAAGUCGGAAUCGCUAGUAAUCGCGAAUCAGAAUGUCGCGGUGAAUACGUUCCCGGGCCUUGUACACACCGCCCGUCACACCAUGGGAGUGGAUUGCACCAGAAGUAGUUAGUCUAACCUUCGGGAGGACGAUUACCACGGUGUGGUUCAUGACUGGGGUGAAGUCGCAACAAGGUAACCGUA
Molecule: ribosomal RNA, 635 nt
Filed under: uncultured Marinobacter sp.
Lineage: Bacteria; Pseudomonadati; Pseudomonadota; Gammaproteobacteria; Pseudomonadales; Marinobacteraceae
Description: bacterial SSU rRNA
Rfam family: Bacterial small subunit ribosomal RNA
Source: RNAcentral